UGGAUAAUCUGCCCUGCACAGGGGGACAACAGCUAGAAAUGGCUGCUAAUACCGCAUAAGCCUACAGCCUCGCAUGAGGGAGUAGGAAAAGAAAUUCGGUGCAGGAUGAGUCCGCGUCUGAUUAGCUAGUUGGAGGGGUAAGAGCCCACCAAGGCAACGAUCAGUAGCCGGCCUGAGAGGGCGACCGGCCACAUUGGGACUGAGACACGGCCCAAACUCCUACGGAAGGCAGCAG
This 235-nucleotide ribosomal RNA is filed under the name uncultured bacterium. RNAcentral describes it as "partial 16S ribosomal RNA". It matches the Rfam family "Bacterial small subunit ribosomal RNA", at positions 118 to 354 of the family's 1533-position model. The record is from RNAcentral.